This is a long non-coding RNA of Oncorhynchus tshawytscha (Chinook salmon), 2476 nucleotides long. NCBI's taxonomy places the organism in Eukaryota, Metazoa, Chordata, Actinopteri, Salmoniformes, Salmonidae. The record is from Ensembl.
GUUUGUUUUGUUUACUUUAUAUUACAGUAGUGUUUUGUGAGAGACCUUCCCUUUAUUAUAUGUGUUUGACUACAGGCUACACCGAAAACAGGAAAUAGAAUAUCCAACACCCUUAUUAGACAUACAGGGGCGAAAAUCUGAUAUCAACUUUGGAGGGGACAAUAACAUGACAUUUUCUCAAGAGCAAUUCCUGAUGGGGACACCUAAAGUAGUGCUGUAACACAUAGCCUACAUUGUAAACUCUUAAAUGCAUAUUGAGGAACCAUAAUUACUACUACUGGAUAAUUGAUAGGUACAGUAGUUAACUGAAGGGUUGUCCCAACUUAAAUCAUUAUAACACUACUAAUAAUAAUAGUUAUAGCAGUGUUCUGUAUCAGUCCAGUAUAUAUGCAGGUAUUUGUGUUUACAACCAGCAAUACCAAGCAAGGCCAGUAGGUGGUAAUGGUACUGUACACUGUAUGGGUGCAGGUUUCAUAAAUACAAUGAACAUGGUGCGAUCUCAUCUCAAAGAAUCUCCAUUGAGAACCAUCACAAAGUUGGGUCUCCGCACUGAACUGACCUUUUUAUUUAACUUUUUCUGAUUCAUUUAUAUAGUCAUUAAUUAUCUGCCACUGGUUUGAGUCUAUUACAACAUCUUUACAAGAACAAAACGCUCAGAGUAAGUAGUUCUAAAAGCGAAAGAACUACUUAAAUGAAAAAUGAUUAUCUAAUGAUUAUUAAUGAUUAUAAUGAUUAUCUAAUGAUUAUUGUAGAUGUUUACAACUGAGGGAGUUGACAGUAGGUCAAUGAGAUGUAUAAAGGCAAAUUGACAUAACGGACCUCAAAGACCAACAGCCUACUUUAUAAUAUAGAAUGCAGGGGUGUGUACUGAACAUGUAACCAUUAUAAAACAAAAUGGUCUACGGUCAAAUGCAUCUAUAGUUUUUAAUGAAGUGGUCCCUGCAUUCAUUUAGAUUAUUUCAACAUAGUCUGGAUCAGUCCACAGAAUGGAACACCUAUCCUUGCACCAUGAUAACGGGAGUUACCCAUGAUAUACACUAUUAGUUUCUGGGAAAUACAUCCUUGUUCCUAUCGCUUCUAGCAUAUUUUAUUUUGACCCCAUUUAUGAAAGUUCACCCUUCCAGGAAAACAUAAGUUUGUCCCCACACAACGUAGACCAAUUAUAACAAUCACAUAUGUGUGGAUUCUGUCUGUAUUUAGGACUAGCAGAGCAUACCUAUAAAGCAAAAAGCAUGAGGAUGACAGUUGAGAAAAUGUUGCAUAUACAUUUUUAGUAUCUCAAUAUUGUGUUAUAUGUUGGUAGGUCUAAUAAACAAAUAUAUUGUAUACAUUGAUAAUAUUAUUUUGUCAGAAAUUCAAGCCGUUGAUACAGUUGUGUACUCUAUCGCCCGCCCUGCUGAUCGUGCUUUAUCUGAACUACAUUAUGCUUUCAUUAUUUUGCAUCAAAUAUUUAUGGACCUUAAAUUAUUAUAGAAUACGUGUAAAAACUAUGUAUAUGUUGUUUUCUCGAGUGUAGGAAAAUGAUUCUAAUGAUUGAAGUGUAUGUACCUAGUAUGUUGUACUAGUAUAUUAAGCUGACUUAAAAAAAAAACAUAUUUAUGAGUUAGUUAAUUAAGAAGCUGAAUAUAAAAAGUGUGGCUUCUUACAUAGAAAUGGGUCAGGCCUCUUGCUCAAUAACACAAAGCAGAUCAUUCAAUCUAUGUUCUUACUGGUUCUAGACUAUGUUGAAAUAAUAUAAAUGAAUGCAGCGACCACUUCAUUAAAAACUAUAGAUGCAUUUGACCGUAGACCAUUUUGUUUUAUAAUGGGUACAUGUUCAUCGGGGUUUGUACAGAGUUGGGUAAAUCCGCUCUUUGCUCCCCCUUACAUGGGUAAUAAUCUCCAAGCUGCUCUAAACGUUGAUGUUUUGGUGUCUCUAGGUUAAUCUCUAGACUGGUGAAUGAGGCCUGCUACAACUUUCUUACAAAACCUUUAAAGGGAGUUUGUGAAACCAUUCAGUCAUGGAUGUAUGUAAAACAUAUUUAACACGUAUUGCAGGUUACAGAAUACUCCUGUUGUACGGCGGCAGGGUAGCCUAGUGGUUAGCGCGUUGGACUAGUAACCGGAAGGUUGCAAGUUCAAACCCCCGAGCUGACAAGAAAAGGGUCCGGUUAGGCCUGACCAUUAUCCGUUUCAAAUUCACCAUCGCAAAGACGCUUGUCCGCUCCAUCAAAACUCCGUAAAUUUUCCCUCCAUGUGUAGAUCAACCAUCCUGCAUGUAAAUCCUGGGUAUGCCCACAUCAUUAAUUAAUAAGAUGGGUAGAAAACUGUUUAGCCAUAAGUAAAGGCCUUUCAUAAAGAGGCUGUCAUGAUUGCCUGUGCCACAUAUUUAACACUUAUUGCUUGUUACAGAAUACUACUGUUUUACAUUUAAUAUCCACUAGCAGAUGUCGUCGCAUUUGCACAAAUUCUGUCAUGUUACUGUGGUCUUUUUAAA